This 301-nucleotide ribosomal RNA is filed under the name uncultured bacterium. RNAcentral's name for it is "partial 16S ribosomal RNA". It matches the Rfam family "Bacterial small subunit ribosomal RNA", at positions 509 to 807 of the family's 1533-position model. The record is from RNAcentral.
CAGUCGCCACGGUAAAACGAAGGGGGCUAGCGUUGUUCGGAUUAACUGGGCGUAAAGGGCGCGUAGGCGGAUCUUUAAGUCAGUGGUGAAAUCCCGAGGCUCAACCUCGGAACUGCCUUUGAUACUGGAGAUCUUGAGUCCGGGAGAGGUGAGUGGAACUGCGAGUGUAGAGGUGAAAUUCGUAGAUAUUCGCAAGAACACCAGUGGCGAAGGCGGCUCACUGGCCCGGUACUGACGCUGAGGCGCGAAAGCGUGGGGAGCAAACAGGAUUAGAUACCCCUGUAGUCCCUGUCUCUUAUAC